This is a long non-coding RNA of Orbicella faveolata, 708 nucleotides long. Lineage: Eukaryota; Metazoa; Cnidaria; Anthozoa; Scleractinia; Merulinidae. The record is from RefSeq and is a predicted model, not a curated record.
UUCACGUAUUUUUCAUUGCGCUGUGAAUAUUUUUUACUGGUUGUAGUGUUGUUAAAGUUUAAUCAUGCCAAAUUGCACGGUUGUAAACAACGCCGAUAUUUUGUAAUCUCUCUUUGAAUUUGAGGCCUUACGAGUGUACCUGAACCGCUGUUGUUAUAAGGGUUGAGUAAUGCAUCGUUCCUUCAUUUUUAUGACAGUUGUUUUCAAUUUCUCUCUCUUAAGUACACGGAAGAGCAUACUCGACUGCUCGAGGUACUUUGCCGAAUUUUUGGGGAAAAACCAAAGGGAAAAGAGAGGAAAGAAGACGUCGCUAUGUACGCCGACGAUAUUAAACAAAUUUGGGAGGUCUCUGUUUUAGUGGAUUCACCGAAUGUGCACCCAAGUUGUAUCACUGGAGAGCUAGCAGCCUGUUGAAAACCAUCUGCAGCACAGAAGUGGCAGCGAAACAGACAGGCCAGGGGUAGUGCAGUGAUUCCCUGUAAAUGGAUGCUAUCAGUAUCCCAAGGAAUGGCACAAAGGGUAGAGAGAUUGUUUGUGUUCAUUUAUCAGACGUUGAGGGCCAUGCAAACAUGUCCUGCAUUCUGCUAAGAGGCAAAUUCAAGGUCGAGAGUACCUAAAGAGUGAAUAAAAUAAAAUGGAUUUUACUUUCAAGACUGAAUUUGCUUUGUAUACUUUAAAUAAAUAUAUAAUAAAACCUUGGGACAUGUG